RNAcentral lists this ribosomal RNA (440 nucleotides) under uncultured bacterium. Its description in RNAcentral is "partial 16S ribosomal RNA". It matches the Rfam family "Bacterial small subunit ribosomal RNA", at positions 338 to 795 of the family's 1533-position model. The record is from RNAcentral.
CCUACGGGUGGCUGCAGUGGGGAAUAUUGCACAAUGGGGGAAACCCUGAUGCAGCGACGCCGCGUGAAGGAAGAAGUAUUUCGGUAUGUAAACUUCUAUCAGCAGGGAAGAAAAUGACGGUACCUGACUAAGAAGCCCCGGCUAACUACGUGCCAGCAGCCGCGGUAAUACGUAGGGGGCAAGCGUUAUCCGGAUUUACUGGGUGUAAAGGGAGCGUAGGCGGCGAUGCAAGUCAGAAGUGAAAGCCCGGGGCUCAACUCCGGGACUGCUUUUGAAACUGUGUUGCUAGAUUGCAGGAGAGGUAAGUGGAAUUCCUAGUGUAGCGGUGAAAUGCGUAGAUAGUAGGAGGAACACCAGUGGCGAAGGCAGUUCACUGGACUGCAACUGACACUGAGGCUCGAAAGUGUGGGUAUCAAACAGGAUUAGAUACCCGGGUAGUC